Long non-coding RNA from Haliotis rubra (blacklip abalone), 681 nucleotides. RefSeq lists it as uncharacterized. The record is from RefSeq and is a predicted model, not a curated record. NCBI's taxonomy places the organism in Eukaryota, Metazoa, Mollusca, Gastropoda, Lepetellida, Haliotidae. The transcript is spliced from 4 exons.
GUGUAAAAAUGUCAAACUGAUUUAACGAUAUAAAUAUUGUUGAAUAUCACGAUUCAAAGCAUUCAAUCGAGAGCAUCAACCUGGAAGAUAUGUCCCAGAGCGAGAUGAGAGCCCUUUCCGACCUUCAGCACCCACCAUGAGAGCUGAGGUCGCCAUGACGACUUGAAAAAUACGUCACCUUUCAAUGACGAACAGAGUAUGCCACCACCCUGUUGUUGUAACGACUGAUGAGUAUUGUUCUCCGUGAUGUCCAAGAAGAUUCACUACAAGAGAGGCAAUCACCAAUCACACACCAGAUGAGGAAGGAAUUUGAUAGCCCUUCACCCGGAUACAUCAGCCCUGAACAUGUAUAUUCGGGCUGGACGUUUUACAACUUUGUCAAACGAUGUCAAUAUCUCAAGAACUGAGGGCUGUAUAGAAGAAAUGACGUUCAUGAUGAAAUUAUCUGAAAUAUGAAGUUCGAGAAGGGAAUUAAAAUGUAUUUAUGAAAUAGGAAUAUUCGUCAACCGGUGAUUCGACAUAUGCUUAUACUGUGAAUCACGUGCCAUUGUAUAAUUAGAACGUUUAUCACCAAAUCUAUUUUAUUUUACUCUGCACAACUGCAAAACAAUUACGCAAUGACAUAUACCCGGAAUUGUAAUUUGAAUUAUCUUGAUUUGAAUAAAACUUCCGAAUAUACUA